AUGAAAUCUAGGAUUCCUGAGUCAAGCAAAAAUCUUAAAGAACAAGAUGUUGUACCUCUUCAGAUAGUUGUCCCAGUUGAUGUCUCAAAGAAAAUGGCAAAAAGUGAUAAGCUUGUUGAUUAUGUGAAUAUAGACUUCAUGGCUAAUAAAUUUGAUACCUCUCCUACUGAGAAUACUGCUAAAUCUGUUGAAAUCACCAUUGACUCACAUGUUGAACCAUGUGUUGAAACAUAUGGUGAACCAUCUCUGACUUAG
Molecule: non-coding RNA, 255 nt
Organism: Vicia faba (fava bean)
Lineage: Eukaryota; Viridiplantae; Streptophyta; Magnoliopsida; Fabales; Fabaceae
Source: the annotation of a GenBank genome assembly